Molecule: ribosomal RNA, 301 nt
Filed under: uncultured bacterium
Lineage: Bacteria
Description: partial 16S ribosomal RNA
Rfam family: Bacterial small subunit ribosomal RNA
Source: RNAcentral
CAGUAGCCGCGGUAAUACGAAGGGUGCAAGCGUUAAUCGGAAUUACUGGGCGUAAAGCGUGCGUAGGCGGUUUCUUAAGUCUGCUGUGAAAUCCCCGGGCUCAACCUGGGAAUGGCAGUGGAUACUGGGAAGCUAGAGUGUGUCAGAGGAUGGUGGAAUUCCCGGUGUAGCGGUGAAAUGCGUAGAGAUCGGGAGGAACAUCAGUGGCGAAGGCGGCCAUCUGGGACAACACUGACGCUGAGGCACGAAAGCGUGGGGAGCAAACAGGAUUAGAUACCCGUGCAGUCCCUGUCUCUUAUAC